Gossypium raimondii (Peruvian cotton) is the source of this 1729-nucleotide long non-coding RNA. RefSeq lists it as uncharacterized. The transcript is spliced from 2 exons. The record is from RefSeq and is a predicted model, not a curated record. NCBI's taxonomy places the organism in Eukaryota, Viridiplantae, Streptophyta, Magnoliopsida, Malvales, Malvaceae.
GGGCAUAUUUUUAGACACAUGCCGAAUACUAAGGUAAUUGAGUGGAAAUUUAAGAAUGUUGGCAAAAUCAAGUGUUGCUAAAUACUGUAUUAUGCUUGAGGAGGAAAUAAGACUCGUUUACAACACAUUCAUGAGAAAGAGAAGAAAGGGAAAUUAGUAGUCCAAGUUCUUGAUGCCAAAGGACUAACUUUUAGUUUUCAGUUGCUGAAUUCCGUUCCAAAUAUGAGCUACUGAUGCUGUUUAUGGAUCUGCCUCCUUGAUAUCGUUCUUUGCUGCUACAUGUUCUUGUCCAUUCCUUGCUUCAAUGAUUUUACAAUUGCUUGAGGAGCUGCUAUUAUUACACCGACUAUAGCAGCUGGUUGCUGCUGCCUGCACUGAUUUUAGUAGCUUCUAGCUGCUCUGUUUGGGAGUUAGUUUACUGCCUUAAAAAUUGCAGCUUCAAUUUGGUGAAUUAAGGCUGCCAAUUGGGGACUUCUUUGACACAAUCAGUCAAGAAGGGAGAAGCAAGAAAGAGACUAAAAAUGGUUGAUGCCUUCAUAGUUUGCCUCAAGCUGUUACAAGACUUGUUCCCACCAAUUAUUGUUGCCACAUGUUUGCAAAUUGCUCCAACAUGGGUUGCAAAAUAUUUAUAUAAUUGCAUAGAUUGUUUCAAAUGUUGCUUGUUGUAAACAACAUUUAGUCACUGCCAUUUGAGCUCAAUGUGUGAUACUUAAUUUGUUGGUGUCUUGUUUCAGAUUGGUGCAAACACCUCGUACUUCCCUGCAAAUCAAGCUAGCAGCAAAAAAAGUUCAUCUUUCUCGGUAACCAACACUGCCAAAGAAGCUCAGAUUCACUGAGGAACCUGUAGCAGUAAGAAUCUAUCCACAAAAGAUAUACAAUUUUUAAUUGCUUUUGAAAGCAGUUUAAGGGAGAUGAAGCUCAUCAUUCAGUUACAAACACCAAGCAGAAGGAACAUGUUUCAGGUAACAUAUCUAACAAGCAUCCAUCUAUAAACAUCCAAGGCUUUAUUUAGUAGCAUUUUCUAGUAAGAGAAAACUACUGAAAACAUAUAUUCUUAGUCCAUGUAGAAAUCCCUAUAUCUGAGCAAUGAAACAAAUAAACAUGGCAAAUUAUUUUUAUAUAUAUGGUUGAUGGUAAAACUAUAACACAGAACUUACUCCCAAUUCAAACUCUUUGUACUUUUUCCCCUGCUGAACAAAUGCUUUAGAAAAUAUAGUGCUUUGUCCUUCAUGACAUGAUUGAAUAUUCCUCAAUCAAUGCUUUUUUUUUUUUAAAAGCUAAGUUCUUGACUUGACUCAACUUGUUUGAGAAUGAGAUAUUUUAUUAUAAUGAUAUGACCACAACUGCAUGCUGAUAAUUUUGAUCAUAGGCAUCUGGGAAUUCUGUAAAGUUGGGAGCUAUUUUGGGUCUUAGAUUAUUGGGUAUUUGUAGUAAUAGAAGUGAUACUCGAGAAUACCUCUAUAUGUAUAUAGUUGAGGUAAUGUCAUCAAUCUCUGAACUUUCUCUUGCUUUUCGAUGUUAAGUUUAAAAGCCAUGAAGUUGGUUAUGCAACCAGGGAACCUACAAAGAGCUCUGUCUCAAAAGAUAGGGAGUUCUGUGACAUGUGUUGGAUAGAAAUUUUCUUUACAUCCAACUAUGAAGUCUCGAAUUCUAUUAUCUUAUAAUUCAAGCUUUGUACUUCGGAAGAAUCUUUAUGUUGUUGUAAUCAUAGUUCUGACAUUUCUAGUUC